AGCUAUUGAAUUACUUCCUUUACUCGCAGGCAAACUGGGGGAGGAGGCGGCCGGGUGCGCUCACUGGCGUCAUCAUACGCACGUAUUUUGACGCUGGUGGGCGAGGACUCGGCCCUGGGCGCUCCUGGGUUUUCCGUCCCGGCUUUUGAGGACGAGGCCGAGAAGCCCAGGCAGGUCACGGGCAGCAGGCAGCCGAGCCGGUGCCCUCCACCUCACGGGAUGUGAGGCCACCUGCAAGGCCCCGGGUGCGGCCCACGGCGCCUCGUGCCACCCCCCGAAUGUCGAGGCAGGAGCGGCGCGACGAGG
This is a long non-coding RNA of Ixodes scapularis (black-legged tick), 306 nucleotides long. RefSeq lists it as uncharacterized. The record is from RefSeq and is a predicted model, not a curated record. NCBI's taxonomy places the organism in Eukaryota, Metazoa, Arthropoda, Arachnida, Ixodida, Ixodidae. The transcript is spliced from 3 exons.